This 448-nucleotide ribosomal RNA is filed under the name uncultured bacterium. Its description in RNAcentral is "bacterial SSU rRNA". It matches the Rfam family "Bacterial small subunit ribosomal RNA", at positions 355 to 825 of the family's 1533-position model. The record is from RNAcentral.
UCGGGAAUUUUGGGCAAUGGGCGAAAGCCUGACCCAGCAACGCCGCGUGAAGGAUGAAAUCUUUCGGGAUGUAAACUUCGGAAGAAUAGGAAGAAUAAAAUGACGGUACUAUUUUUAAGGUCCGGCUAACUACGUGCCAGCAGCCGCGGUAAUACGUAGGGACCAAGCGUUGUUCGGAUUUACUGGGCGUAAAGGGCGCGUAGGCGGCGUAAUAAGUCACUUGUGAAAUCUCCGGGCUUAACUCGGAGCGGCCAAGUGAUACUGUUAGGCUAGAGUGCAGAAAGGGCAAUCGGAAUUCUUGGUGUAGCGGUGAAAUGCGUAGAUAUCAAGAGGAACACCUGAGGCGAAGGCGGGUUGCUAGGCUGACACUGACGCUGAGGCGCGAAAGCUAGGGUAGCAAACGGGAUUAGAUACCCAAGUAGUCCCUGAGCGGGCUGGCAAGGCGCAU